RNAcentral lists this ribosomal RNA (4301 nucleotides) under Triticum aestivum (bread wheat). RNAcentral's name for it is "partial small subunit ribosomal RNA". The record is from RNAcentral. Lineage: Eukaryota; Viridiplantae; Streptophyta; Magnoliopsida; Poales; Poaceae.
CAACCUAAACACCACCUCUGAUGACAUUGUAGGCAGGCCUGCUCCGGCUUCCGCUUGAGGAGACAGGCCUUCGGCACGGCCGCGGCCGUGGCGGGUGGGUUGGGUGGUACCGAAGCGACGGCCUAGAGGGUGAAGGUGGGGUAAGUCUGGGUAGUGGGAAGGUGUUCCCUCGUGCGCCGACAGAGCGUCUGGGGCCGCUUCGGGGCCUCGGGAGCGGGGAGCACGCCGAGGAGGCCCGUUAGCUAGCUGUAGACGACUGGGGAACCCUCCAGUCCGGCCUUCCACGAGGUGACGAAGGAUUUUCGCGUAUCUCGAUAGGGUUGAACGAAACUACUUAGGUUAGCUUAGUUUAACCACACAGCGGAACUCGUGAAAAAGAGACCCUUGGUUACGAACUGAAAAGACGAUCAUUUAGUAACCCGGUGGUGUUUACCUUCUGUUCCUACACCGCGGUGACAAGAAAACAAAUCAAUAAUUAGUAUUCGGAUUGUAGUACACAUAAGGAGACGGGUCAGCAGUUCAGUCACCUUUUUUGUUAUGUUAGUACAUGCCGAGGUGGUUUGGACUUCUGCUAUAAAACCCAUCCCCGAAAGCCGCGUUAAAGACGAGUCUUUUUUUCUACUUUUCGCGCAACGAACACGGAAUGAUCUACCUGGUCUCUUGAAUGACCUUCUGUUUGUGUUUGGGAACUUCGUUGGUGGUGUAGUGAACACUUUAGUGUGUAUCUCUUCGAGCGGCCGCUCUCUGGGUACCUCCGACGACAACAGUGGCAAAGGUGCCCCCACUACUUCGGGGAGGACAGGUUCGAGAAGUUCGACGACGACCUCCUCGUGCCCUUCGAGUUUCCGCAGGCGGUACUGCGGUUCAAGUAUCCUCUGCUCGAAGCGUCGUACUUCCGACGUGACCUCCACGAACGCCUACUUCUUGUUGAGCUUGGACGCUACUCUUAAACCGCCCUACUACAUGCACUCGAAAGAAUACUGUACCUCCUAACGUAACUACAGAAACACCGAGUACAGCUGGUACUCGGGCUACCCGCAUGGUGUGAGUUCUUCAAGCAACUGUACAACUUCUUCGGCUUUGUAGCGGUAGUCUGACGAUCACUCUAUCAAUUUGAGUUCCGGGCACGUUGAGUCCGUUCGCUCUCCGUGUUCUCCAUAUUAUAAUAGGCCGGUUGUGGAACGUAAUCGAGAACAAGGUAACUGGGGGCCGACGGCCGCGAAAUGCGCCUCCAACUACUUGAACAGCCGUAACUACCAGGAUUCCUGCUAUAGUAGCUGACCAAAGUCACCCUCCGAUGAAGAUGUGUCGGAGUUCACGACAGAUAACAACCAAGACCGCCAGAACCGUUCUGAUGAGAUCGUUUGGUUCAGAUAGUACGUUACCUUUCGGUAAAAAGUACACGUCGCAAACACAGCCAAAGAGCUUUAGGACUAUACUCUUUCUGAGAUUCUCUAUAACGACCUCCUCACCCCAAGAGUCUGAUGUGUGACCUACUAGUACACGUUGUUGACUAGUCAUUUGAGUCCGUUAUAGAAUUUCUGCUUUCCAUGAAACAACAUUAACUACUACACACCUCGCGCCUGCGUACCCUUUGAUAGUCCGAACAUAAUAACUUAUUAUUGGUACCCUCAUCUUAAUAGUGAUGUUGUGCAUUAUGACUUCAGCGUAGUACAACAAGAAGCCCACCACCAGUACAAAUAUCUUACCUUGGGGAACGCAAACUACUGAGGUUUUCCAACAAAAAAUCUUCUCGUAAACCAGGACUCCUAAAUACGAUAGGAGUAGACCUUUUUCAGAGAUUACUCUAUAAUUCUUUUACAAGACCGGAUGGUAACCGAUAAUAAUGACACAGAUCAAACAACCGACUAGUCGUACGUCUUCUACUUACCUUCUCUCACAAUCGACGAUAACCAAGACGUGAACGUUUACUAAGACCACGACUAUUCUACUGUUUCUAUAAUAGAGACUCGAUGAAACUAGAAGGAGUGGUAGACUCUCGGACAAACAACAUGAACUCAUAUAAAGGUCUUCUAAGACGAUAGACCUUUGUUGUAAACUAUGUAUUUACCUAACGACUUCCUAAGUAAGUACUCUUUGUUCCCGCUUCAGCUAUACUUUAUCCACUCUGAAUAAAAUUGCUCGAAUAAUUAUCUUCGAACUAGGUUGGCCAACCACGUUGUAAAUCGGUCCAUCUCAGUACGGUUCAAGUACUAUAGUAAGACCUAAAGUAGUGUACGUUUCGACGGCUUCUCUUAAAACAGUGAUUUAAGUCACUACAUCUCCUACCCGUGUUAAGUACAAUGUCUCAGGCCUCCGAAGAACAGCCCUUAUUGUCAUUACUUUUCCAACGGUAUAGUCGGGGCUAAGAGAGAGUACAAGCCAGGGAGUAAUAUAUACGUGUACGAGGAGUUCAAAGAAACAACUGAAAGGGUCAAGAAGCACAGAACCUGGAUCCUUUCACGACCACCAAUCUUCUAGUAGUACAACGUUUAUAACUUUUCGACGAAGAAGACUUCAUGGUCACGGAACGUUUACAAUGUGAGGAGGGUUUUUUUAAACCUCUUGACGUCAUGAACCUUUGUGACCCGUAUCGUUUAUGGUCUUAAGAUCUUUACGGUAAUCGACAAUGUUCGGAAGUUGCCGACCGGUCAGAUUUACAAGUAAUGGUGUAAUCAAAAGGCCUACCUUACUAACCAUUCUACGUUUCGAACCUUCUAUAUCUCUGCGAACCACAGGUGAGGAUACUUGUUCCCUUUAGUGAUGUUCUUAAGUCGGUCGAUUGGUUCUACUCCUCCAACUUUCAUGUCGACCCCUACAAACUUAACACCCUUCCUUGUCCAGUUUAACUCCUGGAAGUGCCAAUGAACCCUUGUAAUCAUAGAAGUACGUUGGAAGCAGUAGAUUUAUAUAGGUUCGAUUCGAGCCUACAGAAUCGACAGUUUUGAAUGAAAGGUGACAGUGACCUCAGCACCACGGGCUGAUGAGGGACGUCGGAAGUCCUCGAAGUGUAUUGUAUGACAAUGUAACUGUUCCAAGGUUUGACCUACUCGAACGAAGCGUUAGAAUCUCUUAAUCUUUAGAUACAGCAGUCACACUCUGGUCUUCUACAAUCUUAGGAACCUAGUUAUGGUUGAAACGAAUAGGAGUUUGAUUUCUGAAAGUUACCGUGGCUACCUUCUUAAGAGUAAGUACCCAAGUCGUUAAACUUUAUAAAGGUAAACCUUGAGGAAAUAACACCCUGGAGUGACCUCAAACUUCUCCCUAGUUACGGUUCCGAACUCGUGGACCUCGACCUCAAGGCACACGUAGUCUACCUAACGGACUUACCAAGAGAGUUAAAGCCAUAGGUUGUGGAGAGACGGGAGGCGUUUCAACUCCAGACAUAAAAACCGUUGAAACCGUUGUUUCUGUUACGCUACCGUCCAGACCUUACAACGAAACCGUUUAGGUAACCUUAGGAAUAACUUCGACUGUAACUCUACGAAGGGUUAACAAGGUCAAAGGAAAAUGUUAUACCUUUACAUCGUAUGCCUUUGCACCGGACGCUUGUAAUGUGUUUUUACCACCUCUGUCUCAUACUCUUUCUUCUACUUCGUCCUGCUCCUUUUCAACCUUCACGUCCUCGUGGGGUGACCGUACACCCUUGUUUAAUGAAAGCUCACAGUAAACCAAUUUUUUUUCACUGUGAGCUUUCAUUAAACCCACAAGUAAACCAAUUAUAAGGCGUUUUUUUUUCACAGUAAACCAAUUAUGUGUUUGUGCAUUCAAGAGCUCGGGCUUGAGGGAGUUUCCGCACAAGGAGCCCCGCUACUGGAGUCACAUAGACGUUCACGCGAGUUCCUGUCGUGGCCUCCUCAGGUGUUAGGUGUGAUCUCUCUUCGUCGGUGCAGCGUCGCACCUCGACCAUCGUAGUACGUCUCGAGUCCCACGACGAAGCGGUCUACCCCUAGCAGCUUCUCCUGAAGAACUCGAAAUAACCUCUCUCAAACUAGUGGAAGAAAGGCUCGGGGUUCACCGGCUCAAACCACCGAGACGGACCAACCAGUAAAGCAACUGUUGGUUGACCCCCUCUGACACAGCGGUGGCGCCGGUGGUCCCAUCCGUUCGAGUUAUUUAGAACAUUUCCGGACCAGUCAAUAUACGACGAGAUGAAACCAACGACCUACUAGUUCAUCGAUUAAUUUCGGAACCAUAAAAGGUUAGUUCUAAAGGAAACCAACAUUAGUAAUUCGCACGAUGCGGCACAACUUAUAUCUGAAGCCCGGACAUCUGAGGAUGUCACACUUUCACCAAGAAUG